UGCUCUUUGCUUGCGCAACAACUGUCGACCCCUCGUCUGUUUCAUUUUUGCCCCGAGAUUGAGCUUGCUCUUCUCGGGCACGACCCUUGGUUCCUGUGUUGCCUUCCCAUCGUGUGGAAAGUUUCGUGAGAUGGCCCCGCCCCUUUCCCCCUUGUGGCUUUGCGGCUGCAAAGUGGACCUCGAAAGCAGUCCCCGUGUCCCGGACAUGUCCUCUGACUGUUUGUCGUGGCUGUCUCGGUCCACAGGACAACUGCUCGCGCUCUCGGAUGUGGAAAAUUAAGCGGACAUGGGGGGGUCUCGGCCUCCGGUUGCUCCCAAUCAAAGUCCCUCGAUAGGAAUGACUUUCGAUACCUCGUGUUGACCGCAGGCCGUCCAGGCCCGUGGCAUCAAUGCGGGUCCNAAGUCNAGAAAGGAUGCUACCUGGUUGAUCCUGCCAGUAGUCAUAUGCUUGUCUCAAAAAUUAAGCCAUGCAUGUGUAAGUA
RNAcentral lists this unclassified non-coding RNA (482 nucleotides) under Ficus crassipes. RNAcentral's name for it is "partial contains external transcribed spacer and 18S ribosomal RNA". The stretch from base 418 to 482 matches the Rfam family "Eukaryotic small subunit ribosomal RNA", at positions 1 to 65 of the family's 1831-position model. The record is from RNAcentral. Lineage: Eukaryota; Viridiplantae; Streptophyta; Magnoliopsida; Rosales; Moraceae.